Molecule: non-coding RNA, 207 nt
Organism: Pelobates cultripes (western spadefoot toad)
Lineage: Eukaryota; Metazoa; Chordata; Amphibia; Anura; Pelobatidae
Source: the annotation of a GenBank genome assembly
ACCACCUGUACGCUGAUGACACCCAGUUAUAUAUCUCCUCCCCGGACCUCUCCCCUGCCGUCCUGCAACAUGUCACUGCAUGCCUUUCUUCCAUAUAUAGCCUGUAUAUAUGGCUUGGCCUGUAAGUGUGGGAGGUACAUGGAACCCUACUUAAACCCAGUAAGCCCCUGCCGUCGACUAUCUCGGAAGUGAUUCUGUUUACUUCCG